Molecule: ribosomal RNA, 253 nt
Filed under: uncultured bacterium
Lineage: Bacteria
Description: partial 16S ribosomal RNA
Rfam family: Bacterial small subunit ribosomal RNA
Source: RNAcentral
GACGAACCGUCCUAACGUUAUUCGGAAUCACUGGGCUUAAAGCGCGCGUAGGCGGCCCGAUAAGUCCGCUGUGAAAGUCAACGGCUCAACUGUUGGAUGCCGGUGGAUACUGUCGGGCUAGAGUACGGAAGAGGCAAGUGGAAUUCCUGGUGUAGCGGUGGAAUGCGCAGAUAUCAGGAGGAACACCGGUGGCGAAGGCGGUUCUCUGGGCCUGUACUGACGCUGAGGAACGAAAGCGUGGGGAGCGAACAGG